UGAGGGAAGUAGUGCAAUAACUUCUGACUCUGAUAUCACCGACUGUACAGAGAAUGUGAGUCAAUUUAUAUAUUUAGUUCUGGGUAGAAUAGUUAUUUUUGGUUUUAGUAGAAACAUGCAUAUUGCAAUUUCUUCCAUACUGUUCUUGGUAAGUUUCAUCACCUCUAACACCCACAAUAUAGUUGUAAAUGACUUAAGAAAAAUGUUUGGAAUGGACAGGUGCAAUAGAUUUUUUUAAAAUUAUGUUUCAUUAAAGCUAAGAUCUGUUAAAAAAUACAUUUUUUAAGAUUACAUUUAAUUAUUUUGAUUUAACUAUGUUCAGUAUAUAUAUCUCUACAGCUUCUACCAUGAUAACAAUGAUAUGGAAAUAAUAUAGAUUAACCAAAAUGACAAAUCAUUUUUAUUAAUUAAAAUCACCAAUAAAAUUAUAAAAUUAAAAGUGACAUUAUGUUUCUACUCCAACCUCUCUUAUUGCAAACAUUUAAAGAAACAAAAUCACUUUUGGAAAUUGGACAGACUAUUUCCAACAGGAAGAGUUGCUGAAAGUGCCAAGGAAACUAAAUCCAAAUCAGUGUAAUUUGUUCUUUAAUGAUGCUUUUAAGAUAUCGUCUUGAGAGUGAAAUGUCAAAAGCUAUUUCUCCUUGGAUAAUUGUUAUUGCUAAGUGGUUAAUUAGCAGAUUCCAGGAUUAUCUAAUCAGAAGUUCGGAUGUCAGACACAAUCGAGGAAACAUUAAAACACUUAAUGAAUCUGAUUUAGUGGCCUUUCUAUAUAAGUAAUAAGAUGAAAAAUUGGUUGUUUAGUAUCAGUUACACCUAAUAGUCAUAAAUAGAUGGAGAGUAAUGGUGAAGAGACUGCCGCCACUACUACUACUACUACUCCCUUCUAAGAAAAAAUGACAAGAUGAGUAACGGUAUUGCUUUCAUUUUUGCACUUCCAUUCUGUUUGCUUUUACCCAUCCGUAUCGUUCAUUAACUCGUAUAAAGAAAAAAUCUGCAUAAAAUAAUUUUUAAAAGUUUCUUUCAAAAGAUGGCGCCAUAUGUAGAUUUUUUUUACUCUUCUUAAGUAUAAUAAUUUUUGAAUAUUACUAUGUAUCAGGUUUAUAUGCAAACUGAUUUAAGCGAAUGGAGAGAAGUUCUCUUUAUGUCGGAACCAAGAUACUUUUAGAGGAACAAGCUUGGUAAUUGCUCUUUAUCGUUUAACACCUCCCUUAAAAAAAGAGAAAAAAUCGAUAAACUCUCGCAUAUCUCACGUUGUUGUUAUUUUAACAGGAAUUUAUACAUUAAGCAAAAGAAAAUUUUAAAUAUUUUAAAAGUUUUUCUAGUUUCGAUGAUGGAUUUUAUUUUAAAAUUCGAGUUUGUUUUUCCGAAGCGGGAAGCGUUACCAGUCGAUUAGAAGCAAUAAAAGGAAAAAUUAAGCGAUAUACAAUAACAAAACUGAGCAAAAAAACGGAGAAAAAUGAUUUUUAAUCGCUGUAAAAAAAAGUCUUAAAAGAGAUUUAAAAAGGUUUUGGUGACGUCACAUUAAAGAAGGGGCCCCAUUCUAGCAUUAAAUUCCCAUUUGAUGUUCCAAGUAAAUAGAAACGUCAUGAUUCGACGUUAGAUGUCAUUUCUGUGGUCGAAUCUGAUUGAUUUGGUGGAUCUGGUGACAGAAUUAUGUCGCCAUCUUCUCUUCGGAGUUAAUCAAAAACCAAAUAAGUGAUUCUUCAGACUGGAUAAACCUUUUCCUUUUACGUCAGAAAAAUAAUGGGAAAUUUAAUGAUAGAUUUAAAGAUUAAAAAAUUCUAUAUAAUAAUAAAUCUUUAAAACUCCAUCAUGAUAUAUACUAUGUUACAAAAGUCAUCUGUAUUUUUUACUUAUUAGGCAAAAUAAUUAUUUAUAUUAAUAUUAACGUUGUUUCAAACAAAGUUGGAAUUCUAAUAUUUUAAUUCAAAAGUAAAUUCCCUGAAAAAAAAACAGACACAAAUUAAUUAACGUUAAAAACCAUUAUAAAAUAAUAUAAUAAAUCUGAUUAAAAUAUCAAAUGUUUGUUUCUCCCGCUAACGAACGAAUACAGAGGGAAAGAGGAGAUAGCAGGGGACAGGCGUUUAGAAAAUGUAAGGUGGAUUUGUGCAAACCAGAUAUGGCAGUUGGCACAAUCGCUAAGGUGGAAGUGGGCGGAUUUACUACCAGGUUUAAAUUUUCUCGUCCGGGAUUCCGAAAUCCUCCCUCUUUGCUCGAGUAUUUUUAUCGCGAUGGAAGUAACCCGAAGAUUUUGUGACUCAGUCGCUCUUAAUAUUUCUACUCGCUGCUGCCGUUGGGAAAAAAUGAGCUUUUCCACAUAUUCGCUUUGGUCCGAGAUGCGGAGAAUCGAAACUUUCACUGCUUUAAAUAUCAAUUUGAAGAAGUUAUCUAGGUUUAUCCGACAGCUUGGGAUAGAUGAGGCUUUAGCAGAUAUGGUUUCCUUCACGCAAAUAAACGCCUUAUUGCUUCUCAGAUCGAAAUAUAUACGAAACAAACAGUCGAGGAGAAAAGGGAAGCGAGGAUUACUCGGGGAUUUACAGUGUCUGGAGGCUUUCUUAAUAGAUCUUUUUCAGCCAAUUUUUUUUUGCCUUCUAUAAAAUGCAGGGUCAAUGGAACAGAAGGAAUGAUGGAAAGCGACUGAGCGUUAAGAAAAGCAACAGCUUGUUUCUGAAAUCCAACUUUUUCUGUUUUGCUCUUUUUUUUCGCCUUUCCUCCUCUUACUUCUGUCUGCCAACGAAUUACAAGUUAUAGUUUUUAUGCUUUUCUUUACGGUUGAAGUAAGAGUUUUAGUUAUCGGGAAAUAUCAAAAACUUACCGAUUUUAUAUCGAGAUAAGCAUUUUUUCCUGACCUUAAACAGAAAGCGGGGAAAGUGAUGGUGAAUCUACAUAAAAUCGAGCAAACAUAUAAAUUAUAACAGGUAUGUUUAUAUAUUUAAAUUUGGCAUCUUCCAUAUUAUCCCAGCUAAAAUUUAUUAAAAGUUGCAACUUUACAUAAACAUUCUCACUUUCAUAAACAUAAAAAUUGAGAAAUUUUCGUUCAAAAUAUUCACGGAU
This 3054-nucleotide long non-coding RNA is filed under the name Androctonus crassicauda. The record is from RNAcentral. Lineage: Eukaryota; Metazoa; Arthropoda; Arachnida; Scorpiones; Buthidae.